AGGUGUGUAGUGUAAUUGGUAGCACGAUGGUUUCCAAAGCCAUUAGUGGGGUUCGAGUCCUUCCGCACCUG
This 71-nucleotide transfer RNA is filed under the name Calditrichota bacterium. Its description in RNAcentral is "Calditrichaeota bacterium (activated sludge metagenome) tRNA-Trp". It matches the Rfam family "tRNA". From Rfam's summary of the family: Transfer RNA (tRNA) molecules are approximately 80 nucleotides in length. Their secondary structure includes four short double-helical elements and three loops (D, anti-codon, and T loops). RNAcentral also lists the same sequence under 1 other name. Lineage: Bacteria; Pseudomonadati; Calditrichota. The record is from RNAcentral.